CCCCCUUUUAUUUUGAUUCUCAUCACCACAUGAAAAUUUGUCAAGUGACAAGCAUCUUGUGCACCAAAGUUUUGUUUAUUAGUCUAUUCACUACCUGUGCGAUUUGGGUUCCCCUCCUGAAUCACAGAUCCACCCCACCUCUGAGUCAUUGCUUGCUGAAGUUCAGUAAGUGUAUAUUUGCCAUAUGUAUGUGUAAAAAUACUUGUAAUGUUUUUU
RNAcentral lists this long non-coding RNA (216 nucleotides) under Mytilus galloprovincialis (Mediterranean mussel). The record is from RNAcentral. Lineage: Eukaryota; Metazoa; Mollusca; Bivalvia; Mytilida; Mytilidae.